ACAUGCAAGUCGAACGAAGCAUACGGACCGGAGAUUCGUCGAAGGACCGUAUGACUUAGUGGCGGACGGGUGAGUAAUGUAUGAGCAACCUGCCUUUCAGAGGGGGACAACAGUUGGAAACGACUGCUAAUACCGCAUAAUGUAUGAUGAGGACAUCCUCGACAUACCAAAGGAGCAAUCCGCUGAAAGAUGGGCUCAUAUCUGAUUAGCUUGUUGGCGGGGUAACGGCCCACCAAGGCGACGAUCAGUAGCCGGACUGAGAGGUUGAACGGCCACAUUGGGACUGAGAUACGGCCCAGACUCCUACGGGAGGCAGCAGUGGGGAAUAUUGGGCAAUGGGCGAAAGCCUGACCCAGCAACGCCGCGUGAAGGAAGAAGGUCUUCGGAUUGUAAACUUCUUUUAUGAGGGACGAAGGACGUGACGGUACCUCAUGAAUAAGCCACGGCUAACUACGUGCCAGCAGCCGCGGUAAUACGUAGGUGGCGAGCGUUAUCCGGAUUUACUGGGUGUAAAGGGCGCG
RNAcentral lists this ribosomal RNA (521 nucleotides) under uncultured rumen bacterium. RNAcentral's name for it is "bacterial SSU rRNA". It matches the Rfam family "Bacterial small subunit ribosomal RNA", at positions 53 to 571 of the family's 1533-position model. The record is from RNAcentral.